UCCGUAGGUGGCUUGCUAAGUCAGACGUGAAAUCCCUCGGCUCAACCGGGGAACUGCGUCUGAGACUGGCGAGCUUGAGUGCAGGAGAGGAACGCGGAAUUCCAGGUGUAGCGGUGAAAUGCGUAGAUAUCUGGAGGAACACCGGUGGCGAAGGCGGCGUUCUGGACUGUAACUGACACUGAAAGACGAAAGCCAGGGGAGCAAACG
RNAcentral lists this ribosomal RNA (207 nucleotides) under uncultured bacterium. RNAcentral describes it as "partial 16S ribosomal RNA". It matches the Rfam family "Bacterial small subunit ribosomal RNA", at positions 568 to 774 of the family's 1533-position model. The record is from RNAcentral.